GGAAGAGGGGUAGUCUUGUGUGUAAGCAUAGCAUUUCUGGUCGAACCACCGAACCACACAUCUUUUUUUGGUGGGAGGGUACUCUGAGUAGUGGGUACCUCGUAGGACCUCGACCCGCCUACUCGGGUCUUGUAUGGAUAUGCAGGAAGGGGUNCUCCUAGGUGUGUGUAGGGGGUGUUUUGUUCGCGAGAAUGGAUUCCUCGUCAAGUCAGGGGGGUGUGGACACACUUGCGCGAAUUCGGGUAAUGGCUACAAGGGUGAAAAUAGAAAGGAAACUGUACCCGACCAGGGAUGGACAUAAACUCAUAAGCUACGGAUGGCAGGGAUAAUCUUCCAGGUCUUAUUGUAAAAAAAAAAAGCCGCCCCGCCACAGCAGGCAGGUUGGUUCCUCCGUCGUCGCCGGUUUUGGCGAGGAGACCAUAGGAUAACUUGCUAAAACAAACGGAGGGGAGCUGUUCAGUAUAAUUCCGAAGACUAUAGGACUGUUGGCAGCAGGUGGUUCUUUGGCCCCCUUAAAAAGAAAUGCGGGUGGGGUGGAGCUCGGCAGAGGGCUUAAAAAUAGGGUAGGGGCCUGUCCUUAAUCUUAAGAUAAGAAAAGGGGCGGGUCCAUUUAUGCAUGCAUCUCCGUACAGGUGCUGCUUACCACCAGAAAGAUCAAACCAAUUUGAAUCGCUGACCCGUAGUAGUAGCGUAAAGUUCGGUCGGGGGG
This 709-nucleotide long non-coding RNA is filed under the name Spirodela polyrhiza (greater duckweed). RNAcentral's name for it is "long non-coding RNA (SPOL_LNC000179)". Lineage: Eukaryota; Viridiplantae; Streptophyta; Magnoliopsida; Alismatales; Araceae. The record is from RNAcentral.